This 331-nucleotide ribosomal RNA is filed under the name uncultured eukaryote. RNAcentral describes it as "partial 18S ribosomal RNA". It matches the Rfam family "Eukaryotic small subunit ribosomal RNA", at positions 1470 to 1796 of the family's 1831-position model. The record is from RNAcentral.
CCCUUAGAUGUUCUGGGCCGCACGCGCGCUACACUGACGAAGUCAGCGAGCAUGUCCUACGCCGACAGGUGCGGGGAAUCUUGUCAAACUUCGUCGUGAUGGGGAUUGAUUAUUGAAAUUCUUGAUCAUCAACGAGGAAUUCCUAGUAAGCGCAAGUCAGCAGCUUGCGUUGAUUACGUCCCUGCCCUUUGUACACACCGCCCGUCGCUACUACCGAUUGAAUGGUUUAGUGAGAUCUUCGGAUUGGCGCCACUGCGGCUCAGCAAUGGGCUCGGUGGAUGCCGGAAAGUUGAUCAAACUUGAUCAUUUAGAGGAAGUAAAAGUCGUAACA